Molecule: non-coding RNA, 103 nt
Organism: Lachancea nothofagi CBS 11611
Lineage: Eukaryota; Fungi; Ascomycota; Saccharomycetes; Saccharomycetales; Saccharomycetaceae
Source: Rfam
GCAUAAUGAUGAAUCAUUUUUAGCUUUUUUUUCUGGCAUCUCUAAUGUUAGGGCAGGCGUUUAAGUACUCCGUUCGAUGAAUACAAUUUUGACAUAACUGACA